Long non-coding RNA from Homo sapiens (human), 3291 nucleotides. RefSeq lists it as uncharacterized. The transcript has 2 exons. The record is from RefSeq and is a predicted model, not a curated record. NCBI's taxonomy places the organism in Eukaryota, Metazoa, Chordata, Mammalia, Primates, Hominidae.
GCCACAGGCAGCGAUCCCACGUCAACAUUGGGACGGAUUGUGAAUUCAGAGCUGAAUAAGGAUUCCAAAGAGGGGACACCGGCAUGGGGGCCGUUAAGUGCUGGGAGAGUUCGGAUACGAUGUUCCCUCGCAAAGCCCGUGUGACGGAGGAACUCUGAAAGGAAGGACUCAAGGUUCCAAGGGGCACGAUGGUGAAGCCGAUGUCAACAACGCAGCCAAACGUGGCUACACAGGACUCUAAGUAGAAAGGGAGGUUGCCCCCAAGAGUCUCUCAAGGGACCUAUCGGGCCGGGGAGAAGGUCCCAAGCCACGCCCACCUUGGAUGGGAAAAGCAACCUGGCUGGUGGUGACAGAACUCUUUGGAAUCCAACCCAGUCUCUGAGGACCGUGGGACACCCCCUCCCCCCGUCCCCACCCCCACCCCGAUACCCAAGAGAUCCAGGGCUAGACUUACCCUGGGAUCUUCUUCAUCGGGCGGGGGAGCCCUUGGCCCAACUGGGGCCCUCCGCUGCUUCUGGAGGGUCUGGGCUCUCACCAGUCUCUUGGCCCAAGAUGUGGGGUCCCGACGUGCCAUCAUCUUCGUCUCCUGGGGGUUUUAUGACCGCCUUUUUCAGGGGUGGACUGUUGGGCCACCUGAAACACACACAAACACACACAUGUCGAUGGUUAAGCACGUUGGAUAUUCACACACCCACAGGAAGCCACCUGCUAACUCCCUGCCUGUGUGGUCAUGAGGAGACCUCACCACCAGUCGGUCAAAUCUGUAGCACACAAUGUGCUGUGCGCAUCCUCGGAUAUUGUGUGUUCCUCUGCCAUGACUACCUAGUCCAAGAGUAAACCCCACCUGCCACAGGGCCCGUGGCCUAGGUAUGGGGGGUUGAGCUUUCAACCCCAAACAAACAACUGAUUCUGGAGACUGGACUUAGGUCUCUCACGAUUCACUCCGGUAGAAGACACGGUGAUUCUAUCUCCCUUGACGGACAGAAUGAUCGAAGACACAGGGCAUGGCGUGUGCCACCCUUUGGCAGGUCUGCUUGAAGUCAGGGAUAAGGGAUGCUUCCUGUGACAACUUGAAUCGCUACUCUUGCCAUUUCAUUAGGCAACUUCCAAACACAAAUUCAUACAGAGAAGUUACCUUCCUCUCUACCGCACUAGCAGGCUGGCGCUGAGAUGGGCAGGUGCUGCAGCAGCCCCGCUGGAAGCGAUGCAGCAUCCAGAACGACGGAGGAAGGGGCGGAGAGGGACCUCUGCUUUCCAGGCUGCCUUUUAUACUGCCUCUGGUCACCUGACAUGGAACGUACCCUAACCUAAUCAGUUACCUGUACCUUAAUUGCAAUUAACUUAAUCCAAUUACAUGACCUGGAAAGGUCUAUCUGCACAGCCCACUCUAAGAUCCUGUCCACUGCUGACAGACAUUCUAAAACCUACUUGUACAGCUGCAAGCUUUGAACAAUAGAUGUUCCCCGUCAGACAUGUAACACUGGUGCCUGUACCCCUGUCUUCUUUUCCAUCUUUUUUGUUGUUUUGUUUUGUUUCGUUUUAAAAAAUGUGGUAAAAUAGACACCUUUUAAUUGGACCACAUUUUGUCUCUCUCGACGUAGGCCUCAGUGUCAUCAAGGAGACUCUCCUUGACAUGCAGUCACGGCCAUGAUCCAUCUUCAGAGCUUCUCUUUCUUCCCCAAGGUAAGUCUGUCAGCAGAGAACCCUGACCGCACCCUCAUGUGUUUUCUCCCCCAGGAGGCGCUUGGAAACCACCGUGAAUUGGACCGCACUGGGAAACACAGAUGAGGAAAGUCAACAACGCUUUGUCCUUCAGUGCCUGGCUCCUUUUUCAGCUCGUCUUGCGACUCCCGGACGCCUGUGAGGCUCUAAUUCCCUGGGUCCCAUUGCCAUGUCUCUGGAUUUGCGAAGAUCCACCGCACCUUCUGUGGAACUCCCGUGUCGGUGAACUUUUGUGCCACGGCCCCUAAUUCUGCCCAUGGUCAUCCGCACCUGCACGACUUAGGGUCCAUGUUCCUUGGACGGGAAGAGACAGGCAGGAGUCGGAAUGAUGAACCAGCACACUGGGGCGUUUUCUCAUGUAGCCCAAGUGACCCCAUGGUCUUCUCGAGCUUUGGAACCAGUCGCGUCCCCUUUGACACUGCACCCGGCUCCCAGUCUCUCAAUCUUGUUGGCCCUCCGGCGAUCUCCCGUUGGAUGAAUUGCUCCUGCUGAAACUCCAGUCCCCUUUGAUUUGCGCUUCAUUAAUUAUUCAUGAUUCAGGUUGGAAGGCCUGCUGACGACCCCCUGUGGCCGUUCUCUGAGCUUUCCUGUCACAUCGUUUCCUUCCACGCUCUUUGGUUCCUUAUGGUCCUGCUCCCUCUGCUGUCAGAGGAGCAGAGAGUUGAUCUUAUUCAUUCUGGAUACGGAUACUUUCUAGGUGAUCUGGAUAAUCAAGAUAACGACCCUCAACAGCGGCGGAGAGGGAGCAGCCAGUUGGUGUGUCUCAGAAAAUCCCACUGAGUUCCGAGGCCUCCUAGAUGUGGAAUCCUGCUGAGAGUUGUUCCCAGGUCAGAGAAUGGAGAGAGCCUGUGCAUGAUGGGACAUCCCCGCCUAGAUCUUUCAGUGAGUCUCUACCUCAGCUACUCUUAGGAUCAGGGGGAGAACCAUGGUGUCAGACAUCCGGAAAGAAGACGGGAUGAAUGUUUUACCUCUGAAGUACAUCCCAAAUGUGGGAGUUAACUUCAGCUUUGCUGGGGUCUAUUUGGCCAGUGAAACUCUGCCUGGUUCCUUCGCACAUCCGGAAGCCACUUCACGGGGGGCCGUCGCAACUGGAACCACACACUUGGCAUCGGCGGUUGAGCCAAAUGGGGACUCGUGGUGCAAGCAACGCUCCCCACGUGUUAGCGUGCGUGAGAUGCGGUUGGCGGGAUUUUACUAGGUGCGUGUUGGUAGAGUGGGGCUGAGGUUUUCUUGCUCCUGUGGAUGUAUAGCAAGUCAAAGGUCCUGCCCAGCCCUGCGGUCCCCUCAGUCAACUCUGUUUCGGAGACGUAACGAUUUGGAUUGCCAACAAGUCAAGAAAUGUUCAAGCCCUUGGAUGUAGGGUAAAGAAAGAGAGAUCAGACUGUCACUGUGUCUAUGUAGAAGGGGAAGACAUAAGAGACUCCAUUUUGAAAAAGACCUGUAGUUUAAACAAUUGCUUUGCUGAGAUGUUGUUCAUUUGUUGCCUUGCCUCAUCCACUUUGCCCCAGCCCCUUUGACCCAACUUGGAGCUCAGAAAACCUGUGUUGUAUAAAAUCGAGGUUUAGGGGA